UUUAAAGAUGUAAUUUUUCGAUUUUCUCAGGAGUUUUCCUAAAAAAUGUGAAGUAUCUGGAUAAACCAUAGAAAACUGAGAAAAACGUAGGCAAACUGGGAAAAUCAGUACAAUAUUAUUAAAGAAAAUAUAUAAUGCUUUUUAAAUUAUUUUACUAUAAAAUGACAUAUAAUAUAUUGUUGACAAAGCUCACUAUUAACUAAACUCCGCUC
Molecule: non-coding RNA, 212 nt
Organism: Cinara cedri
Lineage: Eukaryota; Metazoa; Arthropoda; Insecta; Hemiptera; Aphididae
Source: the annotation of a GenBank genome assembly